Molecule: transfer RNA, 17 nt
Filed under: Paralophaster lorioli
Lineage: Eukaryota; Metazoa; Echinodermata; Asteroidea; Velatida; Solasteridae
Description: partial tRNA-Phe
Source: RNAcentral
AAAUCCUUUUCAUAGUA